UACGUAGGGUGCGAGCGUUAAUCGGAAUUACUGGGCGUAAAGCGUGCGCAGGCGGUUUGUUAAGACAGAUGUGAAAUCCCCGGGCUUAACCUGGGAACUGCAUUGGUGACUGGCAGGCUUGAGUGUGGCAGAGGGGGUAGAAUCCACGUGUAGCAGUGAAUGCGUAGAGAUGUGGAGGAAUACCGAUGGCGAAGGCAGCCCCUGGCCAAUACGUGGACGCUCAUGCGACGAAAGCGUGGGGAGCAAACAGG
This 251-nucleotide ribosomal RNA is filed under the name uncultured bacterium. Its description in RNAcentral is "partial 16S ribosomal RNA". It matches the Rfam family "Bacterial small subunit ribosomal RNA", at positions 524 to 776 of the family's 1533-position model. The record is from RNAcentral.